UAUUAUUCUAUUUUUAUCAGUCGUCAUCAUCUUCUUCUUUAAACACCAAGACCGUACUUGCUAUUUCUCUGCAAUUUAAGAUUUUCACUAUAGAAUGAAUAAUCUUCAAUGAAAUUGAGAAAACAGCCCAACUCAUUAACUGCAUAAGUGGCUGAAUUUCAUUCUAUUCUAUUCCUCUCAAAUGAUCCCUAACCGUAGAGAAAAGGAAAGCCGGCGGCGCACCAUCUUCCAUCUCCUCUCCUUCCGUCGACAAUUCCUCAACUCACGCCGGCGUCCUCUCUCUUUCUCGGCGAAAUGCCGCUGACACUGGUGCCCUCUAUCUCUUUCUCUCUCUCUAAUUUUUUUCUGCGCGUUGUAAGUCUGCAACCCCUCCCCUCUGCACUCGUCACCACCGGCGACCAUCACCUCUAUCGCUAGUCUGCCACUCAAUUUUGUUCUGUGCACUGCAAAAAAGAAAAAAAACUCAUCUUCAUGCCCAAUCUCCCAACAUCAAAAUUCCUGAAAUAAAAGAACCACACCUGCUAUCCUGCAAGUCUUCAAUCACAAAAUCAGAAUAUCAGUGCAGAUUCUAGUGCAUCUAUUUAAAAACGUUCUAAAUCUUCUUCAACAAGUUUGCAUUUGAUUGGACCAAAUUUUUGUCCAUAUUAAUCUAAUUCUAGCCCAUUUCCUUUCACUCUUUUCACUCUUUCCUAUAAACAAAUUAUUGUCCAGCUCUAGAUUUUGCAGGCUUGGAAUAAGGCUUACUAUAUCAAAAAUGUGGCCAGGGAAGAAGUUGUCACCGAGGUGAAGAUCCUUCAAUUUGGUGACAGGGGGCCUUGAAAACCAUUGCUGGUGAGGUUAGGAUAUUCAAGUUUGACCAAAUCAGUGAACAAUGAAUCAGGAAUUUGGCUGGUGAAGGUGUUUAGAGACAAAUCAAGAAAAGUACGGUUGAGACAGGUGGUUAUGAAGUGUGGGAAUUCCAUGUUGAGUUCAUUGACACCAAGAUUAAGGUGAGUUAGGACAGGGAAAGUGGGAAAUCGAGACCAGUCAGGAGUUUCAAAGUGAUUGAAGCCCAAAUCCAAGAAGCGUACCUACCUCAGAUUGCCAAUCUGAUAUGGGAUUUCUAGAGAAGCUCAGGUAUCGAAGCUCUGUAUCUCUGGUGGAAUGGCGCCGGAAAAUAGAUUGGUGGAUAGGUCCAAGAGAGUGAGGCUUGUGAGGUUUCCAAGAGAGCUGGUAUGGAGCCGUUGAGAUCAUUCCCAUAAAGGUUGAAAGUGGUGAGAUUCAGCAAUGAAGUGAAAUAGAACAUGUCCAAUGUCCCUGCAAGGCCUGCAACGAGGAGAUCAAUCCCAGGGACAGAUCCCCCGUCGUUGCAGCGAAUGCCAAUCCAUCUGCAGUAGUUGUUGAUGUUGUUGACGGACCACGACUUGAGAGAAGCAGAAGAUGAUAGGCUGGAUUUCCAUCUCAUCAAACCCUCUGCUUCACUUGUGGCUGCUCUUGAAGGAAAUAUACAUAGACACAGUGUUAGGGGAGAAAGAUAUGUGAUGUGUAAUUUUCGAGCUUUUAUAUUAAUGGAUUUAGAACACACAAGUUUAAUAAAAUAGCUCUAAUAUUACAAUCUA
Salvia splendens (bonfire salvia) is the source of this 1598-nucleotide long non-coding RNA. RefSeq lists it as uncharacterized. Lineage: Eukaryota; Viridiplantae; Streptophyta; Magnoliopsida; Lamiales; Lamiaceae. The record is from RefSeq and is a predicted model, not a curated record. The transcript is spliced from 2 exons.